GUGGAAUCCUCUCCCCACCCCCGCAGGAAGGGACAGUUGAGCCAAUGAAGAUGCGCCUUAUAAAUGACAUCAGGAUACUCAGGAUUUCUUCUGAGGACAACGAUGAUUCACAGAAGAGUUUUAAGCAAGCAUCUGGAGCCAAGUGUGUGCAGACCGGUGGUGAGACUGUGGAUUUUCACACCAGUUGUCUGCUUGCUUGUGAGAGCUCGGCUCAGUACAGGCUCAGUAGCUGUGAUGCUCAAGCUCAGUUUCCCCACGGCAUGUGGAAUCUUCCCGGGCCGGGAGUUGAACCUG
Molecule: long non-coding RNA, 294 nt
Organism: Dama dama (fallow deer)
Lineage: Eukaryota; Metazoa; Chordata; Mammalia; Artiodactyla; Cervidae
Exons: 3
Source: RefSeq, a predicted model, not a curated record